GAGGAUGGGCCUGCGCCCGAUUAGCUAGUUGGUGGGGUAAGAGCCUACCAAGGCGACGAUCGGUAGCUGGUCUGAGAGGAUGAUCAGCCACACUGGGAUUGAGAACGGCCCAGACUCCUACGGGGGGCAGCAGUGAGGAAUUUUCCGCAAUGGAGGCAACUCUGACCGAGCAACGCCGCGUGCAGGAAGACGCUUUUCGGAGUGUAAACUGCUUUUCUGGGGGACGAGAACAAGGACGGUACCCCAGGAAGAAGUCCCGGCUCACUACGUGCCAGCAGCCGCGGUAAUACGUAGGGGGCGAGCGUUGUCCGGAGUUACUGGGCGUAAAGGGCAUGUAGGCGGUCCUCCAAGUUGGCGGUGACAGUCCUCGGCUUCACUGAGGAAGGCUCGCCAAGACUGGGGGACUUGAGGGUCAGAGAGGGACACAGAAUUUCCGGGUGGAGUGGUGAAAUGCGUAGAGAUCCGGAGGAAUACCACUGGCGCAGGCAGUGUCCUGGCUGACGACUGACGCUGAGGUGCGAAAGCGAGGGGAGCGAACGGGAUUAGAUACCCCGGUAGUCCUCGCCGUAAACGAUGACCACUAGGUGUGGGAGGUAUCGACCCCUUCCGUGCCGUCGCAUACGCAAUAAGUGGUCCGCCUGGGGAGUACGGUCGCAAGAUUAAAACUCAAAGGAAUUGACGGGGACCCGCACAAGCAGCGGAGCGUGUGGUUUAAUUCGAUGCAACGCGAAGCACCUUACCAGUAGUUGACAUGCCUUUGCACCGCUCGUUACGGAGCGUCCUCUUCGGAGGCGGAGGCACAGGUGCUGCAUGGCUGUCGUCAGCUCGUGUCGUGAGAUGUUGGGUUAAGUCCCGCAACGAGCGCAACCCUCGUCCUCGGUUAGGAUGUCCGAGGAGACUGCC
RNAcentral lists this ribosomal RNA (903 nucleotides) under uncultured Chloroflexota bacterium. RNAcentral's name for it is "bacterial SSU rRNA". It matches the Rfam family "Bacterial small subunit ribosomal RNA", at positions 221 to 1153 of the family's 1533-position model. Lineage: Bacteria; Bacillati; Chloroflexota. The record is from RNAcentral.